GGUAUAGAAGUUUAGCAUUUAGAUUGGAGUAGAAAGCCGCCCAAUAUUCGAUUGGAUUAUCUUAAAUUUUUCUCAAUUGGUAAGUGUGAUUAAUUUUAUCUUUCUUUUAUUCAUUUCUAAUUAAGAUAUUAAGAAGUGUAAAAAUUUUGAAUUGACAUUAAUGAUUUGAUUAUGAAUUAUUGAGGUUCUAUUUUGCUAUAAGAUUUGUUAAGAGUUUGUUUAAGACCUUGGAUUUGAUUAGGAUUUGGUUUAGGAUUUGGUUUAGAAUUUGAUUAAGAUUAAGGUUUUUUUGGAAUUUGAUUUAGAAUUUUUCUAGAAUUGAUUAGGAUUUGACUAGGAGUUGAUUAAAGUUUAUUUAGGAUUUAUUUAGGAAUUAUUUAGGAUUUACAUUAGGAUUUUAUUAGGAUUUGAUUUAGAAUUUUUUUAAGAUUCAAUUAGAGUUUUAAUUAGGAUUUGAUCUAGAAUUUUGUUAAGAUUUAAUUAGAGUUUUAAUUAGGAUUUUAUCUAGAAAUUUGUUAAGAUUCAAUUAGAGUUUUAAUUAGUAUUUGAUCUCAGAUUUGAUUAAGAUUUAAUUAGAAUAUUAAUUCAAGUAAUAUUAAAGUUUUUAUUUUUAGUAUU
Molecule: long non-coding RNA, 618 nt
Filed under: Physcomitrium patens
Lineage: Eukaryota; Viridiplantae; Streptophyta; Bryopsida; Funariales; Funariaceae
Description: long non-coding RNA (PPAT_LNC000413)
Source: RNAcentral